Long non-coding RNA from Alosa alosa (allis shad), 271 nucleotides. RefSeq lists it as uncharacterized. NCBI's taxonomy places the organism in Eukaryota, Metazoa, Chordata, Actinopteri, Clupeiformes, Clupeidae. The transcript has 3 exons. The record is from RefSeq and is a predicted model, not a curated record.
CCCUGUCUGCAAUCCUCCCUUUCAGUAAGCCCCAGGACCGAGGCGUUGAGGUGGCGUGAAUUCGGCGUGCCCUGUCUGCAAUCCUGCAUUUCAGUAAGGGGCAGUAAGGACAAGAUCCACCCACCACCCAGUGCAUGCGUGCAUAUGUGUGUGUAAUAAAUUGAGAGGGAAAGUGUGUGUGAUAAAUGAAAUUUAAUAAAGUAAGUAAAAUUUUGAAUUUGUGCUUCUUUUCUGAAAUACAUUAGUACAAGGUUUUGAUUUUUAGAUAAUU